Molecule: ribosomal RNA, 301 nt
Filed under: uncultured bacterium
Lineage: Bacteria
Description: partial 16S ribosomal RNA
Rfam family: Bacterial small subunit ribosomal RNA
Source: RNAcentral
CAGCAGCCACGGUAAUACGGAGGGUGCAUGCGUUAAUCGGAAUUACUGGGCGUAAAGCGCACGCAGGCGGUCUGACAAGUCAGAUGUGAAAUCCCCGGGCUUAACCUGGGAACUGCAUUUGAAACUGUCAGGCUGGAGUCUUGUAGAGGGGGGUAGAAUUCCAGGUGUAGCGGUGAAAUGCGUAGAGAUCUGGAGGAAUACCGGUGGCGAAGGCGGCCCCCUGGACAAAGACUGACGCUCAGGUGCGAAAGCGUGGGGAGCAAACAGGAUUAGAUACCCCGGUAGUCCCUGUCUCUUAUAC